Long non-coding RNA from Clupea harengus (Atlantic herring), 1465 nucleotides. RefSeq lists it as uncharacterized. The record is from RefSeq and is a predicted model, not a curated record. The transcript has 2 exons. Lineage: Eukaryota; Metazoa; Chordata; Actinopteri; Clupeiformes; Clupeidae.
CACUUGGUAAAACAAACACAGCGUCUGAGUCGUGGAGAGCCUUUGAAGAUCUAGUCUAACGGUGUGCAGCGGGCGUAAUUGGCUCCCCGCAGACUGGGGCCAGCGAAGGGUUAAAAUUGGAAUGGACAAAGCGUGGUGUUUUACAUGCAUAAUGGCGUGUUUGUUUUCACUUGUAAUCCCUCCGCAGUGAUUUAAACACAGAGAGUGAAGGAUGAUUGGCGCGUGAAGGUUUCUGAGGUUUGUUUUGGAGGUACUCCCCACCACUCCCCCUCCCUCUCUCUCUCUCUCUCUCUCUCUCUCUCUCUUUCUGUCUUUCUACUCCCCCACAUUCCAUCCAGAAGGGGCAGCACUGCCUGUGGUUCUUAGGGGAACGGUGGGGGCCUUGCUCGUACCCGUAAACCCGGCACCUCCCUGGGAAAGCUGGCUCACCCCUCCUCUCUGGGGCUGGGGCCUGCUGGAGCCAGCCCCUCAUAUUUUUUAUUUUAUUUAUUUAUUUCUCUUUUCAGUGUGUUUUUUUGCCCCGCGAUGGCAGCGGCCGAGAAUUAACUUGAUUUGUUUGUCUGCCGCCGCAUGUUUUGCGUCGAGGCAGUGCCCCGGCCCAUUAGACCCUCUUCAUACCCCGAGCGGGACGGGGAGGAGUGGGAGUCUGGGAGCAAGCGGAGCAGAGAAGACGUGCACUCUGCAUGCACCGUUCCCAUCCGUGGAAAUCUUUAAUAUGUCUGUUACGUAAAGCCCUAUGCCCUAGCCCUUGCUGUGACGGUAGGUCGGGUCGAACAGGGGUAGACAGAGGGGGGAGCGGUGGGGCGGUAGGGUGGUUUGUGGGGUGGGGGGUGGGGGGGUAAGGAGUCUGCAUUCUUUUGAAAAAACAUGUCCUCCUCUCCAUUUGAAUCUCCCUUUGUCCCACAAAAAAAGUAGGGAGGCUUUUCCCAUCUCUAUUUUUUUAUUGGCCUGUUUCCUCAUGCACAGGAGGGGUGUGCAGGCAGGCUGGGCCCGCCAUUGAUCUUUCAUCAGUCCACAGCAGCGAGUGGAAGUGAAAGACAGCCCUGGCGAGUCUUUUCUCCCUCUCGCUCUCUCUCUCUCUCUCUCUCUCUCUCUCUCUCUCUCUCUUUCUUUCUUUCUCUCUUUCUUUCUGUCUGUUUUUUUCCCCUUCUUCGUUACUCGCUGGAGCCUGCCUAUGAUUGUUUCCAGUUUCCUCAGAUUGUUUCUGGUUUAGCGAGUGUGCUGGGGCAGCCAGGCCGAGAGCCACAGACAUUUAGGAGAGCACGUAACUACCACUGCACUGUGGAAGGACUUUUGAUGGCAAUGCAAACUCAUGCCCUUGAUCCUGAUCCUCCCAUCUUUUGGAGGCUCACCAGUGCAACCAGCGGUUCAGCCGACAUUCAAACACCCCCCUUUGGUAUACGUCUAAAACAUCCUCAUGCAAAACAGCUGUGGGAACCUCAAUAAAUGAAAGCUAGAUUCUCAA